Molecule: small nuclear RNA, 179 nt
Organism: Ictidomys tridecemlineatus (thirteen-lined ground squirrel)
Lineage: Eukaryota; Metazoa; Chordata; Mammalia; Rodentia; Sciuridae
Gene: U2
Rfam family: U2 spliceosomal RNA
About the family: U2 is a small nuclear RNA (snRNA) component of the spliceosome (involved in pre-mRNA splicing).
Source: Ensembl
AUUGCUUCCUGGCCUUUUGGCUAAGAUCAAGUGUAGUAUCUGUUCUUAUCAGUUUAAUAUCUAUCCAAGGAUAAUAUAUUAAGUGGAUUUUUGGAGCAGGGAGAUGGAAUAGGAGCUUGCUUCAUCCACUCCACACAUUGACCUGGCAUUGCAGUACCUCCAGGAACAGUGCAUUAAAA